UGACUACAACUGGAAGACUAUAACUAA
RNAcentral lists this non-coding RNA (27 nucleotides) under Bombyx mori (domestic silkworm). Lineage: Eukaryota; Metazoa; Arthropoda; Insecta; Lepidoptera; Bombycidae. The record is from RNAcentral.